Molecule: ribosomal RNA, 469 nt
Filed under: uncultured bacterium
Lineage: Bacteria
Description: bacterial SSU rRNA
Rfam family: Bacterial small subunit ribosomal RNA
Source: RNAcentral
AGAGUUUGAUCCUGGCUCAGAAUGAACGCUGGCGGCAGGCCUAACACAUGCAAGUCGAACGGGUCCUUCGGGACUAGUGGCGGACGGGUGAGUAACGCGUGGGAAACUACCCUUUGGUACGGAACAACUCGGCGAAAGCUGAGUUAAUACCGUAUGUGUCCUUCGGGAGAAAGAUUUAUCGCCAAAGGAUGGGCCCGCGUUGGAUUAGCUAGUUGGUAGGGUAACGGCCUACCAAGGCGACGAUCCAUAGCCGGCCUGAGAGGAUGAUCAGCCACACUGGGACUGAGACACGGCCCAAACUCCUACGGGAGGCAGCAGUGGGGAAUCUUAGACAAUGGGGGAAACCCUGAUCUAGCCAUGCCGCGUGAGUGAUGAAGGUCUUAGGGUUGUAAAGCUCUUUUGUGCGGGAAGAUAAUGACGGUACCGCAAGAAUAAGCCCCGGCUAACUUCGUGCCAGCAGCCGCGGUAA